This 3008-nucleotide ribosomal RNA is filed under the name Haemophilus influenzae. RNAcentral's name for it is "bacterial LSU rRNA". It matches the Rfam family "Bacterial large subunit ribosomal RNA". The record is from RNAcentral. Lineage: Bacteria; Pseudomonadati; Pseudomonadota; Gammaproteobacteria; Pasteurellales; Pasteurellaceae.
UUAAGUGACUAAGCGUACAAGGUGGAUGCCUUGGCAAUCAGAGGCGAAGAAGGACGUGCUAAUCUGCGAAAAGCUUGGAUGAGUCGAUAAGAGGCGUUUAAUCCAAGAUAUCCGAAUGGGGAAACCCAGUAGAUGAAGAAUCUACUAUCAACAAGUGAAUUCAUAGCUUGUUGAGGCAAACCGGGAGAACUGAAACAUCUAAGUACCCCGAGGAAAAGAAAUCAACCGAGAUUUCGUCAGUAGCGGCGAGCGAAAGCGAAAGAGCCAGUAAGUGAUAGCAGUAUAGUUAGGAGAAUGUGUUGGGAAGCACAAUCAAAGAGGGUGAUAAUCCCGUAUCUAAAAACCAUAUUGUGGUACUAAGCUAACGAGAAGUAGGGCGGGACACGUGAUAUCCUGUUUGAAGAAGGGGGGACCAUCCUCCAAGGCUAAAUACUCCUGAUUGACCGAUAGUGAACCAGUACUGUGAAGGAAAGGCGAAAAGAACCCCGGUGAGGGGAGUGAAAUAGAACCUGAAACCUUGUACGUACAAGCAGUGGGAGCCUGAAAGGGUGACUGCGUACCUUUUGUAUAAUGGGUCAGCGACUUAUAUUUUGUAGCGAGGUUAACUGAAUAAGGGAGCCGAAGGGAAACCGAGUCUUAACUGGGCGAAUAGUUGCAAGGUAUAGACCCGAAACCCGGUGAUCUAGCCAUGGGCAGGUUGAAGGUUGGGUAACACUAACUGGAGGACCGAACCGACUAAUGUUGAAAAAUUAGCGGAUGACUUGUGGCUGGGGGUGAAAGGCCAAUCAAACCGGGAGAUAGCUGGUUCUCCCCGAAAUCUAUUUAGGUAGAGCCUUGAGGUGACACCUUUGGGGGUAGAGCACUGUUUCGGCUAGGGGUCCAUCCCGGAUUACCAACCCGAUGCAAACUACGAAUACCAAAGAGUGAUACUCAGGAGACACACGGCGGGUGCUAACGUCCGUCGUGGAGAGGGAAACAACCCAGACCGCCAGCUAAGGUCCCCAAGUCUAUAUUAAGUGGGAAACGAAGUGGGAAGGCUUAGACAGCUAGGAUGUUGGCUUAGAAGCAGCCAUCAUUUAAAGAAAGCGUAAUAGCUCACUAGUCGAGUCGGCCUGCGCGGAAGAUGUAACGGGGCUCAAAUAUAGCACCGAAGCUGCGGCAUCAGGCGUAUCACUAAUACGCCUUACGAUUAACAAGCUAGAAUAGCGCGAAGCGUCAUGAAAGGUUGUUCAAGCGACCCGAACGUUGAGUCGGGUAUAUUUGAGUGAGGAUGAUUAGUGAUACGCCUGUUGGGUAGGGGAGCGUUGUGUAAGCGGAAGAAGGUUCAUCGAGAGGUGGGCUGGACGUAUCACAAGUGCGAAUGCUGACAUAAGUAACGAUAAAACGGGUGAAAAACCCGUUCGCCGGAAGACCAAGGGUUCCUGUCCAACGUUAAUCGGGGCAGGGUGAGUCGGCUCCUAAGGCGAGGCUGAAAAGCGUAGUCGAUGGGAAACAGGUUAAUAUUCCUGUACUUGGUAAAGCUGCGAUGUGGGGACGGAGUAGGUUAGGUUAUCGCACUGUUGGAUAUGUGCGUUUAAGUUGGUAGGUGGGAAGUUUAGGCAAAUCCGGACUUCCUUAACACAGAGAGAUGAUGACGAGGCUCUACGGAGCUGAAGUAACUGAUACCACACUUCCAGGAAAAGCCACUAAGCGAAAGGCUUUACUAAACCGUACUAAAAACCGACACAGGUGGUCAGGUAGAGAAUACUCAGGCGCUUGAGAGAACUCGGGUGAAGGAACUAGGCAAAAUAGCACCGUAACUUCGGGAGAAGGUGCGCCGGCGUAGAUUGUAGUCCCUAGCGGGCGAAGGUUGAACCGGUCGAAGAUACCAGCUGGCUGCAACUGUUUAUUAAAAACACAGCACUCUGCAAACACGAAAGUGGACGUAUAGGGUGUGAUGCCUGCCCGGUGCUGGAAGGUUAAUUGAUGGUGUCAUCGAAAGAGAAGCACCUGAUCGAAGCCCCAGUAAACGGCGGCCGUAACUAUAACGGUCCUAAGGUAGCGAAAUUCCUUGUCGGGUAAGUUCCGACCUGCACGAAUGGCAUAAUGAUGGCCAGGCUGUCUCCACCCGAGACUCAGUGAAAUUGAAAUCGCCGUGAAGAUGCGGUGUACCCGCGGCUAGACGGAAAGACCCCGUGAACCUUUACUAUAGCUUGACACUGAACAUUGAAUUUUGAUGUGUAGGAUAGGUGGGAGACUUAGAAGCAGUCACGCCAGUGAUUGUGGAGUCAUCCUUGAAAUACCACCCUUUAACGUUUGAUGUUCUAACGAAGAUUGCGGAACGCGGUCUCGGACAGUGUCUGGUGGGUAGUUUGACUGGGGCGGUCUCCUCCCAAAGCGUAACGGAGGAGCACGAAGGUUUGCUAAUCACGGUCGGACAUCGUGAGGUUAGUGCAAUGGUAUAAGCAAGCUUAACUGCGAGACAGACAAGUCGAGCAGGUACGAAAGUAGGUCAUAGUGAUCCGGUGGUUCUGAAUGGAAGGGCCAUCGCUCAACGGAUAAAAGGUACUCCGGGGAUAACAGGCUGAUACCGCCCAAGAGUUCAUAUCGACGGCGGUGUUUGGCACCUCGAUGUCGGCUCAUCACAUCCUGGGGCUGAAGUAGGUCCCAAGGGUAUGGCUGUUCGCCAUUUAAAGUGGUACGCGAGCUGGGUUUAGAACGUCGUGAGACAGUUCGGUCCCUAUCUGCCGUGGGCGUAGGAGAAUUGGUUGGGGCUGCUCCUAGUACGAGAGGACCGGAGUGGACGCACCACUGGUGUUCCGGUUGUGUCGCCAGACGCAUUGCCGGGUAGCUAAGUGCGGAAGAGAUAAGUGCUGAAAGCAUCUAAGCACGAAACUUGCCAAGAGAUGAGUUCUCCCAAUCUAAGAGAUAGUAAGGGUUGUUGUAGACUACGACGUAGAUAGGUCUGGUGUGUAAGUGUAGUGAUACAUUGAGCUAACAGAUACUAAUUGCCCGAGAGGCUUAACUAU